This 238-nucleotide long non-coding RNA is filed under the name Bos taurus (domestic cattle). RNAcentral's name for it is "long non-coding RNA NONBTAT011086". Lineage: Eukaryota; Metazoa; Chordata; Mammalia; Artiodactyla; Bovidae. The record is from RNAcentral.
UGGGAGGCAAAAAUUACAAUUAUAACACAUUCUUUCUACAAAACUAUCAGGUGUAGUAUUUGUUUCUUAAGAGCAUGAUACAGAUUUUAUAAUAAUAGUGAUUGUUAGAGAAUAUUAUAUCAACCCAGGUGAAAUAAAACCAUCUCACCACACUCGAUACAUCUGUUAAUAAGAAGCAGAUUUUAAUAGCAGAAAUACAACUUUAACUUUAUUGGCUCAUUUUGGUGACUUGGAAGAC